This 650-nucleotide ribosomal RNA is filed under the name uncultured bacterium. RNAcentral's name for it is "bacterial SSU rRNA". It matches the Rfam family "Bacterial small subunit ribosomal RNA", at positions 705 to 1366 of the family's 1533-position model. The record is from RNAcentral.
AAUGCCAAAAGUGAAGACAGCUAACUACUACUAAUCUGACGGUAAGGGACGAAAGCAUAGGUAUCAAAUAGGAUUAGAUACCCUAGUAGUCUAUGCUGUAAAUGAUGUAUGCUAAGUGUUGGUCUAUUUUGAUCAGUACUGAACCUAACGGGAUAAGCAUGCCGCCCGGGAAGUAUAGUCGCAAGACCGAAACUCAAAAGGAUAGGCGGGGGAACAUACAAGCAGUGGAUUAUCUCGAUUAAUUGGAUAAUAAACCAAGAAUCUUACCCGGGUUUGACAUCCUUGGAAUCUUGUAGAAAUAUGAGAGUGUCCGCCUUGUGCGGAAGCCAAGAGACAGGUGCUGCAUGGCCGUCGUCAGCUCGUGCCACAAGGUGUUCGGUUAAUUCCGAUAACGAGCGCAACCCUUGUACUUAGUUAGAAAUGUCUAAGUAAACUGCCUGGGUAACCAGGAGGAAGGAGAGGACGACGUCAGGUCAUCAUGGCCCUUAUGUCCGGGGCAUCAGAGGUAAUACAAUGAGUUGAAACAAACUGAAGCGAAGGGGCGACCUGGAGCAAAUCGGAUAAAACAGCUCUAAGUACGGAUUGUAGUCUGGAACUGACUAUAUGAAGUUGGAAUUGCGUAGUAAUGGUGGGUCAGAAAACCGCGUGAA